CCAAUAGCGUAUAUUAAAGUUGUUGCAGUUAAAAAGCUCGUAGUUGAAUUUCGGGGUCAGUAGGUUGGUCGUGCCACUGGUAUGUACUGGUCUCACUGAUUCCUCCUUCCUGAUGAGCUGUAAUGCCAUUAAUUUGGUGUUGCAGGGAAUCUGGACUGUUACUUUGAAAAAAUUAGAGUGUUUAAAGCAGGCUAACGCUUGAAUACAUUAGCAUGGAAUAAUGAAAUAGGACGUUCGAUCCUAUUUUGUUGGUUUCUAGGAUUGACGUAAUGAUUAAUAGGGAUAGUUGGGGGCAUUAGUAUUCAAUUGUCAGAGGUGAAAUUCUUGGAUUUAUUGAAGACUAACUACUGCGAAAGCAUUUGCCAAGGAUGUUUUCAUUAAUCAAGAACGAAAGUUAGGGGAUCGAAGACGAUCAGAUACCGUCGUAGUCUUAACCAUAAACUAUGCCGACUAGGGAUCGGAUGAUGUUAAUUUUUUAAUGACUCAUUCGGCGCCUUACA
RNAcentral lists this ribosomal RNA (500 nucleotides) under uncultured Glomeromycotina. RNAcentral describes it as "partial small subunit ribosomal RNA". It matches the Rfam family "Eukaryotic small subunit ribosomal RNA", at positions 591 to 1092 of the family's 1831-position model. Lineage: Eukaryota; Fungi; Glomeromycota. The record is from RNAcentral.